AUUAGAGUUUGAUCCUGGCUCAGAACGAACGCUGGCGGCAGGCUUAACACAUGCAAGUCGAACGCCCUCUUCGGAGGGAGUGGCAGACGGGUGAGUAACACGUGGGAACCUACCUAGGGGUACGGAAUAACUCGGGGAAACUCGUGCUAAUACCGUAUACGACCUUCGGGUGAAAGAUUUAUCGCCCCUAGAUGGGCCCGCGCUGGAUUAGCUAGUUGGUGGGGUAAAAGCCUACCAAGGCGACGAUCCAUAGCUGGUCUGAGAGGAUGAUCAGCCACACUGGGACUGAGACACGGCCCAGACUCCUACGGGAGGCAGCAGUGGGGAAUCUUGGACAAUGGGGGAAACCCUGAUCCAGCCAUGCCGCGUGAGUGAUGAAGGCCCUAGGGUUGUAAAGCUCUUUCGCCAGGGAAGAUAAUGACGGUACCUGGAUAAGAAGCCCCGGCUAACUCCGUGCCAGCAGCCGCGGUAAU
RNAcentral lists this ribosomal RNA (473 nucleotides) under uncultured bacterium. Its description in RNAcentral is "bacterial SSU rRNA". It matches the Rfam family "Bacterial small subunit ribosomal RNA", at positions 1 to 524 of the family's 1533-position model. The record is from RNAcentral.